RNAcentral lists this transfer RNA (93 nucleotides) under Halobacillus litoralis. RNAcentral's name for it is "tRNA-Ser". It matches the Rfam family "tRNA". Rfam says of the family: Transfer RNA (tRNA) molecules are approximately 80 nucleotides in length. Their secondary structure includes four short double-helical elements and three loops (D, anti-codon, and T loops). Lineage: Bacteria; Bacillati; Bacillota; Bacilli; Caryophanales; Bacillaceae. The record is from RNAcentral.
GGAGGAGUACCCAAGUUUGGCUGAAGGGAGCGGUCUUGAAAACCGCCAGAGGCUUUACGGCCCGCGGGGGUUCGAAUCCCUCCUCCUCCGCCA